Dreissena polymorpha is the source of this 765-nucleotide long non-coding RNA. RefSeq lists it as uncharacterized. The transcript is spliced from 6 exons. Lineage: Eukaryota; Metazoa; Mollusca; Bivalvia; Myida; Dreissenidae. The record is from RefSeq and is a predicted model, not a curated record.
CUAACCUCAAUUUUACAAGGAAGUAAAUUGAGAAGUUUAUUAAUGGAAACUGGAAUAUCUGCAUUUUUAACGAACGCUAUUUUGUGAUUUAAUUGUUGAGUUUGUAGUGCACUCAAACACGUUGCAAGAUGACAACUCGAGGGUAACAAGAACCAACAGUUGGAAACUCUAUACAAAACUUGAUUUCCGGCGUGGAGGACGUUCUUCGCACAGCUGGUCCGGCCAAAGAUCAAUUGAUUGGACUUAAGUCUUAUAUAAGACAAUUACAAACGCAAUAUGCGGAAGAGGAACUCAAAGCCCUUAGAAGUGAGAAUAACAAACUAAGAAACGAACUUAUUAUGCUGAAAACUAGUGGUUGUGAAUCGUUAGCAAUGGUGUUCAAUGAUUUGGAAAGGGCAGUAAAAGUGGCAAAAGAAGAGGCGUACAAAAUAACGAGCUCUAAUGAAGAAGCAAACACCGGGAUGGAAAAACUGGAAGAAAUGAAAAAACAGUUUGAAGAUCAGAAUGAAGAACUCCGUAUAAUCAAUAAAGAAAAAUGCUCACUGCACGGUAUUUGCGAAGGCAAGGACAAACAGAUAAGUUCACUCCGGACAACGUGCGAAAAACUUCAAACCGAAAGUGAAACACUAGAAAAACUAAAUGAAGACAACCUCAAAAUAUUACAGAAUGAAAUAAAUGAACUGAAUGCAACUUUUUCAAAGCAAGUAGAUGUACAUCUAGUAUUUGCUUUAAAGUGAAACAUAUAAUUAUAUUCAGACCAAAUAA